GUUUACCCAACUCACAGUGCUCACUGCUGCAAAGAAGAACAAGCACACAGGCAAAAAGUUUUCCCAGCAAGAAUGCCAGGGUGAAAGGAAAGAUCAAUUGGACCAGAGCACAAGUGCUGCUCCAGUUACUUGGCAGAGUACCUAAUAGUGAUCCACCACAAUACCACCAUAUAUCUGUUUGGGAAUAAACAAGGGCAAGUUGACUGCUUAAGAGUGAUGACAUGCAACUCAGUCUCUUGCAACACCACCUGAGAAAAGGAAGCACUAGCAGGAAGAACAAAUUGAUGGAGAGGAAAAGUGAUGAAUACAGAUAAGAAGCACAGCUGGUGGAGGCUCAUGUGCCAGUUUACUGGGCCUCAG
RNAcentral lists this long non-coding RNA (360 nucleotides) under Homo sapiens (human). RNAcentral describes it as "non-protein coding lnc-RBMY1B-1:4". The record is from RNAcentral. Lineage: Eukaryota; Metazoa; Chordata; Mammalia; Primates; Hominidae.